This 223-nucleotide long non-coding RNA is filed under the name Daucus carota (carrot). RNAcentral describes it as "long non-coding RNA (DCAR_LNC006473)". Lineage: Eukaryota; Viridiplantae; Streptophyta; Magnoliopsida; Apiales; Apiaceae. The record is from RNAcentral.
UACUCCCUCCGUCCCUAAAUACUUUUCCUGUUUCUCCUUUUCACGUUUGCCAACACACACUUUUGAUCAUUAAUAUCUUUAAUUUUAUAUUAGUAUUAAAUAUAAAAAUUUCACUGUAUUAAAGUACUCGUAAAUACGAACCCAACAAGAUCACUCAUGACUAUAUUUAGUAUUAUAGAUUAGACGUAAAUUAGUCAUUUGUCUCAUGUUAUGAACAGUCCCG